This 271-nucleotide non-coding RNA is filed under the name Hordeum vulgare subsp. vulgare (domesticated barley). RNAcentral describes it as "Eukaryotic large subunit ribosomal RNA". It matches the Rfam family "Eukaryotic large subunit ribosomal RNA", at positions 1906 to 2215 of the family's 3401-position model. Lineage: Eukaryota; Viridiplantae; Streptophyta; Magnoliopsida; Poales; Poaceae. The record is from Rfam by way of RNAcentral.
AAGGGAAGUCGGCAAAAUGGAUCUGUAACUUCGGAAAAAGGAUUGGCUUUGAGGAUUGGGCCAGAGGAUCUCGAACCUAUCUGCUGUCGGUGGACUGCUCGAGCUGCUCACGCAGCGACAGUGGGUCGCCGCGUGCAGGCCAGGGGACGGAUCGGGAAUCGACUUAGAACUGGUACUGACAACGGUGAAUCGGACUGUUUAAUUAAAACAAAGCAUUGUGAUGGUCCUCACGGAUGCUGAUGCAAUCCACAUACGAUUCAACAUUUUCUCU